AAAGUCUUUAUCUGGCACAAAUCUGAGAUACAUUCAAAUACAUGACAAUCAGUUAUAUCAUGGCCGCUUUUUUCUAGACAUAUUUAUUGGGGAAAAAAGUCAUGUUUCUUUCCUAGUUAUCUGCUUUGAGAAAUGUUAAACUCUCUGUCUCCAGAUCAACACGGAUCUUUUGAAACUCAUGUUUUGUUUUCUUUCUUCCCUAAAUGUUUUUAUAACUUUGGGGCUUAACUAUAAAUAUAAUUUUAUUUUUCAUCUACUAUUUUCCAAAUAUCUUGUUACUUGUAUUUGCAUAGAAUAAAAAUAAGACCUUUUGGUUUUCAUUAUUGCUUCCA
Biomphalaria pfeifferi is the source of this 332-nucleotide non-coding RNA. The record is from the annotation of a GenBank genome assembly. NCBI's taxonomy places the organism in Eukaryota, Metazoa, Mollusca, Gastropoda, Planorbidae.